Long non-coding RNA from Oryctolagus cuniculus (rabbit), 1864 nucleotides. NCBI's taxonomy places the organism in Eukaryota, Metazoa, Chordata, Mammalia, Lagomorpha, Leporidae. The record is from Ensembl.
AGCACCCUAAUUUUAAAACAAGUUACUUCAAGUAAAGUCUACUUCACUGAAAGUCACGUUGUGGAACCUGGUUACAACUUGAAGUAUGUUGUCUCAAUCCUCAGCAUUAUUCAAGUACAAAAUCACAAGCAAAUGGACGUGACCAAAAUAAAUCACGGUGUAUAAUCAAUGAAAUCCACAUUAAAAGAAGUAAAACAAAACAAAGAAUUAUCUAUUCUUAUGAUGUGAAAGCAAAUCCAAACAUAAUGGAAACAUGCCACUUCUUCUGCCAGAGACAGUACGAUAUGGCUGUGAUUUUCACUGAACAUACUGAACAAGAAAGCAAACUCUGGGAAUGGAAGCAUCCUGUUUGAUGUACAGGAUUGCUCUUUGGAUUUGGAGAGAUACAUUUGUGUGUCUUAUGUCUAGAUAUCAGAAACAAAUCUAACAGGUGUGCACUGCCCCAACCGAUGUUUAGAAUUAUAUGAGUCACUACAAGGUCAUACUUCCAAAAACCUCAGACCUCUGAAGAAUUCACUAUGUUUGAUGCAUCAUUUGUUUCCUGUGUUUGGAUUUUUGUUGUCAAGAAUCUCAAGUAUGUUACCACCAUCUGAUGAACUUCUACAACAAGAAUAAUUUUUCCAUGUAACUCACACAUAAGCGCUUUCUAAGGAUGUGUCCAUCUAACACCCAGAAGGCUGACAGAAAAGCUCAAUUGGGAGCAUCUUUGUCUACCAGACCCAGCCAGGGCCACUGCUUAAAGCCCUACAAUACAACAUCAAAGGUCACCACGGCUGCCACAGUGGGAACCAAGAGGAAUCUGUUCUCUAAGAUAUUCCUACCCGAACAAAUCCAGCUGUUUUAUGUCAAAUAAUACAAAAUUUGAUUCUCCAAAACACAGCGGAUGAAUUUGUCAGGAAGCAUGGCAAAAAAGAUUUGACUUAGAGUGAAAAAUCUCUCUGUCCAGGAGGAAAAGUGAAUGACUAUUGGAGAAGAGAAGGCAGAUCAGAAGAUUAUUCCAAUUCCUGUAUACACCUACAAGCAGUAUGAUAUCAGGUAAUGAGAAUAAUGAUGUGAACUGAUGGGUGUCCAUCUUCUGCUGCCACAUCAGAGACAAAUGUGUCCUCAAACAAGCCUAUUCAGAUUGUCCGAGCUCAUACCUUUGGAGUAUUCACAGUGAUUCAAAAUUAAGGACUUCAUAUUGUAGAAUCUCAGUGGUUUCAACAGAGUGUGUAACAUAAACAAUAGGCUAAUGAAUCAUUAUUUUUAUUCACUUCCCUACUUCCAGUUCUAGAUAUACUUCCUCACAUUCUCACAUCUUUCCAGCACUAUCAAUUUUCUUCCGCAGUUGAUAUUUUCUCCUAACAUAUGAAGUCAUUUCAAUAGCAGUUCUGCCACACCAAAUAAUGGCCCACAAAGAUACCUCCCCAGAAAUAUCUGAAUCUCUGGAAACUAAGAAUGCGACUUUAUAUGGCAACUGUGACUUUAUGGAUGUGACAUCAUGAUCAUGACAUGGAGAGAUUGCCCUGCAUUAUCUAAGUGGACCAUAAAUGCAACCACAAAGCUCCUUAUGAGGCAGGAAAUUUGACACUGAAGAUUCCUAUGUAACCAUUGAAGGAAAAUGCUAUAUGCCUGGCUUAAAAAUUGAGAAAGGUAGAAUGAGUCAAGCGAUGUAAACAAUGCUGCUCUAAAUUCUGAAAAAGGCAAUGAUUGCAAUUCUUUCUUAGAACCUGAAGAGGAAAUGCACCCUGUUAACAUACUGAUUUUGGCCAAAUGCAACUGAUUUGGACUUCUGCCCUAAGAACUAUAAGAGAUCAAGAGUGCUGGGGCAAUUUGUUGUAGUAGCAAUCAGAAUAAAAAAUAAAACACAGGUAAGUAUGAAGCA